Molecule: ribosomal RNA, 676 nt
Filed under: Escherichia coli
Lineage: Bacteria; Pseudomonadati; Pseudomonadota; Gammaproteobacteria; Enterobacterales; Enterobacteriaceae
Description: partial 23S ribosomal RNA
Rfam family: Bacterial large subunit ribosomal RNA
Source: RNAcentral
CCAGAGCCUGAAUCAGUGUGUGUGUUAGUGGAAGCGUCUGGAAAGGCGCGCGAUACAGGGUGACAGCCCCGUACACAAAAAUGCACAUGCUGUGAGCUCGAUGAGUAGGGCGGGACACGUGGUAUCCUGUCUGAAUAUGGGGGGACCAUCCUCCAAGGCUAAAUACUCCUGACUGACCGAUAGUGAACCAGUACCGUGAGGGAAAGGCGAAAAGAACCCCGGCGAGGGGAGUGAAAAAGAACCUGAAACCGUGUACGUACAAGCAGUGGGAGCACGCUUAGGCGUGUGACUGCGUACCUUUUGUAUAAUGGGUCAGCGACUUAUAUUCUGUAGCAAGGUUAACCGAAUAGGGGAGCCGAAGGGAAACCGAGUCUUAACUGGGCGUUAAGUUGCAGGGUAUAGACCCGAAACCCGGUGAUCUAGCCAUGGGCAGGUUGAAGGUUGGGUAACACUAACUGGAGGACCGAACCGACUAAUGUUGAAAAAUUAGCGGAUGACUUGUGGCUGGGGGUGAAAGGCCAAUCAAACCGGGAGAUAGCUGGUUCUCCCCGAAAGCUAUUUAGGUAGCGCCUCGUGAAUUCAUCUCCGGGGGUAGAGCACUGUUUCGGCAAGGGGGUCAUCCCGACUUACCAACCCGAUGCAAACUGCGAAUACCGGAGAAUGUUAUCACGGGAGA